This 31-nucleotide non-coding RNA is filed under the name Mus musculus (house mouse). The record is from RNAcentral. Lineage: Eukaryota; Metazoa; Chordata; Mammalia; Rodentia; Muridae.
UUUGAAUGAGAAGCUCCACUGACUAUGGAAA